CGGGUGAGUAUACUUGGGAACGUGCCCUUCAGCCGGGAAUAACAGCGGGAAACUGCUGCUAAUACCCGAUACUCCCUCCGGGGGAAAGAUUUAUCACUGAAGGAUCGGCCCAAGCCAGAUUAGCUUGUUGGUGGGGUAAAGGCCUACCAAGGCUACGAUCUGUAGCUGUUCUGAGAGGAAGACCAGCCACACUGGGACUGAGACACGGCCCAGACUCCUACGGGAGGCAGCAGUGGGGAAUAUUGGACAAUGGGGGAAACCCUGAUCCAGCCAUGCCGCGUGAGUGAUGAAGGCCUUAGGGUUGUAAAACUCUUUUAUCAGGGAAGAUAAUGACGGUACCUGAAGAAUAAGCACCGGCUAACUUCGUGCCAGCAGCCGCGGUAAUACGAAGGGUGCUAGCGUUGUUCGGAAUCACUGGGCGUAAAGAGCGCGUAGGCGGUUAUCCAAGUCAGGGGUGAAAUCCUGGGGCUCAACCUCAGAAUUGCCUUUGAAACUGGGUAACUAGAGUGUCGGAGGGGAGUGCGGAAUUGCUAAUGUAGCGGUGAAAUGCGUAGAUAUUAGCAGGAACACCGGUGGCGAAGGCGGCACUCUGGACGACAACUGACGCUGAGGCGCGAAAGCGUGGGGAUCAAACAGGAUUAGAUACCCUGGUAGUCCACGCCGUAAACGAUGGGUGCUAGCUGUUCGGGGGUUCCCCCUGAGUAGCGUAGCUAACGCGUUAAGCACCCCGCCUGGGGGAGUACGGUCGCAAGAUUAAAACUCAAAGAAAUUGACGGGGACCCGCACAAGCGGUGGAACAUGUGGUUUAAUUCGAGGCAACGCGAA
RNAcentral lists this ribosomal RNA (825 nucleotides) under uncultured bacterium. Its description in RNAcentral is "bacterial SSU rRNA". It matches the Rfam family "Bacterial small subunit ribosomal RNA", at positions 103 to 965 of the family's 1533-position model. The record is from RNAcentral.